Molecule: ribosomal RNA, 550 nt
Filed under: uncultured bacterium
Lineage: Bacteria
Description: bacterial SSU rRNA
Rfam family: Bacterial small subunit ribosomal RNA
Source: RNAcentral
ACACUCCGGUGGUAUGAGAUGGACCCGCGUCUGAUUAGCUAGUUGGUGAGGUAACGGCCCACCAAGGCGACGAUCAGUAGCCGGCCUGAGAGGGUGAACGGCCACAUUGGGACUGAGACACGGCCCAAACUCCUACGGGAGGCAGCAGUGGGGAAUAUUGCACAAUGGGGGAAACCCUGAUGCAGCGACGCCGCGUGAGUGGUGAAGUAUUUCGGUAUGUAAAGCUCUAUCAGCAGGGAAGAUAAUGACGGUACCUGACUAAGAAGCACCGGCUAAAUACGUGCCAGCAGCCGCGGUAAUACGUAUGGUGCAAGCGUUAUCCGGAUUUACUGGGUGUAAAGGGUGCGUAGGUGGCAAGGCAAGUCUGAAGUGAAAAUCCGGGGCUCAACCCCGGAACUGCUUUGGAAACUGUUUAGCUGGAGUACAGGAGAGGUAAGUGGAAUUCCUAGUGUAGCGGUGAAAUGCGUAGAUAUUAGGAGGAACACCAGUGGCGAAGGCGACUUACUGGACUGCUACUGACACUGAGGCACGAAAGCGUGGGGAGCAAACA